UUACGUUAAGUAGCAAGGUUAAGCACUUAAGGUGCGGAGCCGUAGCGAAAGCGAGUUUUAACUGAGCGUUCAGUUACUUGACGUAGACCCGAAACCGGGCGACCUACCCAUGAGCAGGAUGAAGCGAAAGUAAAAUUUCGUGGAGGUCCGAACCCACGAGCGUUGAAAAGCUCGGGGAUGACUUGUGGGUAGCGGUGAAAUUCCAAUCGAGCCCGGAGAUAGCUGGUUCUCCCCGAAAUAGCUUUAGGGCUAGCCUCAAGGUGAGAGAUACGGAGGUAGAGCACUGAAUGUCCUAGGGGGUAUUGCACCUACCGAAGACUAUCAAACUCCGAAUGCCGUCAUCUUAUACUUGGGAGUCAGACUGUGGGUGAUAAGAUUCAUAGUCGAAAGGGCAACAGCCCAGAUCGUCAGCUAAGGUCCCUAAAUGUAAGUUAAGUGGUAAAGGAUGUGGGAUUGCACAGACAACCAGGAUGUUGGCUUAGAAGCAGCCACUCAUUCAAAGAGUGCGUAAUAGCUCACUGGUCGAGUGAUCCUGCGCCGAAGAUUUCCGGGGCUAAAACUUACUACCGAAGCUACGGCAUCAGUAAUGAUGGGUAGGGGAGCUUCCCAUACGGGUUGAAGCAUGACCGUAAGGACAUGUGGACAGUAUGGGAGUGAGAAUGUUGGCAUGAGUAGCGAGAUGUGGGUGAGAAUCCCACAGGCCGUAAACCCAAGGUUUCCAGGGGAAGGUUCGUCCGCCCUGGGUUAGUCGGGACCUAAGCUGAGGCCG
Molecule: ribosomal RNA, 769 nt
Filed under: Clostridioides difficile
Lineage: Bacteria; Bacillati; Bacillota; Clostridia; Peptostreptococcales; Peptostreptococcaceae
Description: partial 23S ribosomal RNA
Rfam family: Bacterial large subunit ribosomal RNA
Source: RNAcentral